RNAcentral lists this small RNA (16 nucleotides) under Arabidopsis thaliana (thale cress). RNAcentral's name for it is "ATSL259330". The record is from RNAcentral. Lineage: Eukaryota; Viridiplantae; Streptophyta; Magnoliopsida; Brassicales; Brassicaceae.
ACAUCUUUACUAUCAC